CGCGCAUGCGCAGCAGCUCCCGCUGCUGAAUAGCUGAGAGGCGCACUGGGGCGCAAGCUGGGCUCGGAGUGCAGCGGGGUCAGGAUGGACGAGGACGUGUUGCACCCUGAAGAGCCUCAUCAUCGGCGAGAGUGGGGUGGGCAAGUACAGCCUGCUCUUGAGGUUCACAGAUGAUAACUUUGAUCCAGAACUUACAGCAACAAUAGGCAGUCCACUUUACAUCACUUUCCAGACAAC
RNAcentral lists this long non-coding RNA (237 nucleotides) under Theropithecus gelada (gelada). RNAcentral describes it as "lncRNA (ENSTGEG00000000089.1)". The record is from RNAcentral. Lineage: Eukaryota; Metazoa; Chordata; Mammalia; Primates; Cercopithecidae.